Molecule: long non-coding RNA, 2071 nt
Organism: Anolis carolinensis (green anole)
Lineage: Eukaryota; Metazoa; Chordata; Lepidosauria; Squamata; Anolidae
Exons: 3
Source: RefSeq, a predicted model, not a curated record
UUAUUAUUAUUAUAUGGGAACAAAUAAGAAUAGAUGUAAAAGAUUUGGACAGGAUGGUAUUAAAGGGGGUCUUCUAAUGUCACACAAGUGUGCCUCCAUCUAAACGAGCGUUUCUCAAUCUGGGGGCUGGGACCCCUUGGUGGGUCGUGAUGGGGGUUCAGAGGAGUCGCUAAAGACCAGCAUUUUCUAUUUGUCAUGAGGGUUCUGUGUGGGAAGUUUGGUCCAAUUCUUUCAUUGGUGGGAUUCAAGGGGUUCUUUGAUUGUAGAUGAACUAUAAAUACCAGCAACUAUAACUCUUAAAUGGUACAGUCUAUUUUCCCCAAACUCCACCAGUGUUCAAAUUUCGGCAUAUUGAGUAUCUGUGCCAAAUUUGGUCUAGAUCAAUCAUUGUUGGAGUCCACAGUGCUCUCUGGAUGUAGGUGAACUACAACUUCCAAACUCAAGGUCAAUGCCCACCAAACCUUUCCAGUAUUUCCUGUUGAUCAUGGGAGUUGAUCAUGUUGAUCAUGGGAUCAUGUGUGCCAAGUUUGGUUCAAUUGGUGGAGUUCUGAAUGCUCUUUGAUUGUAAGUGAACUAUAAAUCCCAGUAACUACAACUUCCAAAUGACAAAAUCAAUCUCCCCAAUCCCACCGGUAUUCAAAUUUGGACGUAUCAGGUAUUUGUGCCAAAUUUGUUCCAGUGAAUGAAAAUACAUCCUGAAUAUCAGAUAUUUACAUUACGAUUCAUAACAGUAGCAAAAUUACAGUUAUGAAGUAGCAACGAAAAUAAUUUUAUGGUUGGGGGUCACAACAACAUGAGAAGCUGUAUUAAGGGGUCAUGGCAUUAGGAAGGUUGAGAACCAUUGAUCUAAAGUUCUAAACAGUGUAACUUGCCCAGUGUAACUUGAUAAAUCAAGCAUGCAUUAUUACAUUUGAUACAGAAAUAAGAAAAGUAGGUGUGGUAGUGUGGGUAUGUAUCCAGUAAGUAUGCUGUCCUCACACAGUCUUCUUUAACCAUAGGUUGCCUAACCUAACAGGUACUUUCUCCAGUGGGUGUGAUAAGGUCCAGAUAUAUAGAAGAGAUGAAGGGAUUACAACAGGUAUUUUUUGCCAUGCAGUCAGGUGACAAGCUGCUCUGGCUGAAAUGCUCUCUCCUACCCAACUAUGAAAGCUACAUGAGCUCUCUCCAGCUUUCAUCCUGGCAACCAUACAGCCCUUGUUCAAGACUGAACAGAAGGUCUACUUUCUGAAGGGAAACUGUGAGCUUAGCAGAGGCUGCGACAGGGCACGGAAAAUUGUAGACAAUUUCCAGACAACCUACUUGUAAAGCAGAGAAGUGACUCAUUCCACUCUGCUACAUAAAAUGCCACACGUUUGCCCUGGCAACGCGCAUGCGUGUGGGGACCCCCCACAUUUCUUUGCUUUCUUGUAACACUUAACAAUGAGGGCCUUUGCGUUAUGUACACCAAGGCAGUAAAUCUUCUUUUGGGUUAUGCCACUCGAAGCUGCAGGUGGAGGCUUCGAUUGAAUAGUUCUUCUACAUGCCCUCAAAGUACUUCCAGACAUAAAAGUAAAUAUUGAGGAGAAGGGAGGUCUUCAUGAAGCACAUGGAAGGGGAGUCUGUGUGAUAGGGUGUUUUCCUAACCCCAUUGCUGACACCCAGGCUCCCUUGAAGGGAUUCAUGCUGGUUGUGGUUUCUGGAGCUGCAAUUCAACAAGAGCUGGACAGACACAUACUUCCCAACCAGUCUAAAGACUGCUUCUAACAUCCUAUAUAUCAUAUGAGUCUCAUUCCUGAUGACAUGCAACUUCUGUCAUUUCUAUACUCUCCUACAGUUCACAGAUGAAAAUUGGGACAUUUGUUGAACAGCAACAUAAGAUGGCAAAAGUUAUAAUUGAGGAAGAACACACAGCUAGGAGAGGCUGCAGUGGUUUCUUUAGGCUGAACGGACUGUCCUCUUCCCCUACAUUGAGUGCAGACCAGUUUUGAAAUUUUCAGGUUUUUCAGCAAGAAUACUCCAAUACCACAGCAGGAUUCCACAAGAUGAAACUAUGGCAAUUAAAGUGGAAUAAAGGCACUAUAACUGUGUAGUG